AGGGGAAUCGCCAAGUUGGUUAAGGCAUCGGAUUUUGAUUCCGACAUACGAGGGUUCGAAUCCUUCUUCCCCUG
Non-coding RNA from Burkholderiales bacterium, 74 nucleotides. The record is from Rfam. Lineage: Bacteria; Pseudomonadati; Pseudomonadota; Betaproteobacteria; Burkholderiales.